Molecule: ribosomal RNA, 955 nt
Filed under: Euglenaria clavata
Lineage: Eukaryota; Euglenozoa; Euglenophyceae; Euglenales; Euglenaceae
Description: LSU rRNA
Rfam family: Eukaryotic large subunit ribosomal RNA
Source: RNAcentral
AGCGGGCUGGUCCCAUGAGGUGACUUCUGCCCAGUGCUCUGAUUGUCAAUGCGAAGAGAUUCAGCCAAGCGCGGGUAAACGGCGGGAGUAACUAUGACUCUCUUAAGGUAGCCAAAUGCCUCGUCAACCAAUUAUUGACGCGCAUGAAUGGAUCAACGAGAUUCCUGCUGUCCCUAGUUGCUGUCUGGUGAACCUACCGCCAAGGGAACGGGCUUGGAUGUGUCAGCGGGGAAAGAAGACCCUGUUGAGUUUGACUCUAGUUUGAUACUGUGCAACGACAUGGAGGGUGUAGCACAGGUGGGAGGCGAGUGCCAUUGCCACAGGACACACAGCGACAGAAGCCUUGAGAUUGAGAUUCCGAAGCCUUGUGAGACUCAGCAGCAGCAGAGAUUGCCUUGGUGCAAACCAGCAGUGAAAUACCACUACCUUCACCGUCGUUUUACUCAUCGAGUGGUCUGGGAUCGGCGGCCAUUCAAUCAGCUCUUCCCUCGCGGAGGGGCUGUGGCCAAUACCCGCUUCGUGAGCAAAGUGUGGCACUCUCGUGCUGCACAACCCUGGAGGCUGCAUUCCAAUCAGAAGCCUUGAGACAUCGAUCAGUUGGGGAGUUUGGCUGGGGCGGCACGCCUGUUACAGGACAACGCAGGCGUCCUGAAGCAAUGCUCAGAUGGAACAGAAAUCUCUCACGGAGGAGCAGGCCAAAGGUGCUGCUGAUGCUGCGACUUCCAGUGCAAGUCCGAAACGUGCAAGUGUGGCCUAGCGAUCCUUUGGUUGAGUGCACGAGUUUGGGAUAUUGAAGCCAGAGGUGUCAGAAAAAUUACCACAGGGAUAACUGGCUUGUGGCUGCCAAGCGUUCAAAGCGACGUCGCUUUUUGAUCCUUCGAUGUCGGCUCUUCCUAGCUUCCCACCCGCAGCCGAGUGGAAGAGUUGGAUUGUUCACCCACCAACAGGGAACGUG